CAGUAGCCGCGGGAAUACGUAGGGUGCGAGCGUUAAUCGGAAUUACUGGGCGUGAAGCGUGCGCAGGCGGUUGUGUAAGACAGGUGUGAAAUCCCCGGGCUUAACCUGGGAACUGCGCUUGUGACUGCACAGCUAGAGUAUGGCAGAGGGGGGUGGAAUUCCACGUGUAGCGGUGAAAUGCGUAGAGAUGUGGGGGAACACCGAUGGCGAAGGCAGCCCCCUGGGCCAAUACUGACGCUCAUGCACGAAAGCGUGGGGAGCAAACAGGAUUAGAUACCCGAGUAGUCCCUGUCUCUUAUAA
This 301-nucleotide ribosomal RNA is filed under the name uncultured bacterium. RNAcentral's name for it is "partial 16S ribosomal RNA". It matches the Rfam family "Bacterial small subunit ribosomal RNA", at positions 509 to 809 of the family's 1533-position model. The record is from RNAcentral.